AGAACUUUCCUCGUCAAGGUCUGCCUUGCCGUAGUGCAGUUACACGAACAAUUAUUUCAUCUCUGUCCUCGUAAAGAAUAGUGGUUCCGGAAGAUCUUCAUGGGAAUAUUGAAUAGGAAUGAAGAGUAUAUCGUUCUGUUAACGGCUUAUCAAAAAUCAAUAGCAUAUUAAUCCGUUCAUCUGUCAGUUGACUUGUAACAUUGACUUGUUUUAUUCAUGCCGGGAAACUAGGAAAAAACUCGAGGUAGCUUACACAGGACAGGGGUUGGACACGGCUGGUUCUAUCAGUUUUCUCGGGAGAAGGAUAGAACAAUAGGAAACACGGUCCAAGAUAAGGGAAAAACGGUCUAAGAAUGAAUAACAGUAAAAUUGAGAAGGAGAACGACAGCAAUGACUUCACCAAUCACGAAGAUGAGGUUCGGACGCUGUUUGUCAGUGGACUACCCCUGGAUAUUAAACCUCGGGAGCUUUAUCUACUUUUCAGACCAUUUAAGGGUUAUGAAGGCUCCUUGAUUAAACUCACCUCAAAACAGCCGGUGGGGUUUGUCAGUUUUGACAGUCGAUCAGAGGCAGAGGCUGCCAAGAAUGCCUUGAACGGUGUCCGCUUCGACCCGGAGAUCCCUCAGACGCUGCGCCUGGAGUUUGCCAAAGCCAACACCAAGAUGGCCAAGAACAAGCUGGUGGGCACCCCGAACCCCCCUGCCUCCUUGCAGAGCCCCGGCCCCCAGUUCAUCAGCCGAGACCCAUAUUCGCUGGCUCCCUCCUGCAGAUGGAUCUCCCCAGGGAUGGAAAUCCAGGCAGUUCUGCUGAAGUAUGUGUUCCUGAUGUGUGAUGGUGGUCUCGGUUGGCCCUGACGGCGUCGCCGGCGGUUCUCACGUCCAAACUGAGGACUCGUGACCUCGUUCGCCGCCGAGUGGACCGUCGACAGCGACAACUCUUGGGCCUGAGGUCUUCCUAUCUGCCAUCACACAUCAACCCCCCCCCCCACCACCCGCUCCUUUUUUUAAACUGUUACAUUCUCAAUAAUGAUUGGUGAAACUUUGGUUCAAGUACAGUACAUAAGACCUAAUGAUGCUUUAAUGACAAUUACUUAGCCUAAUUCAAAGGCAACGUUCCAAUAUCCAUGCUAGCAAAGAUUGCUGGGCGAUUGUGCUUAUUGGAACAAGACCCUUGAAAACCCUUUGUUGAAAUUCACAAACCUUUUAUUAUUUGGCAUGAGACCACCCGUGUUGAAAAACAAAGUAUAUUGCUUUACACUGAAAAGUGGAAUUUUUGGACAUAUGAGUUGGGAUUAAACGUUUCGGAUUGUAAACGCGCGUGAAUGAAAGUCUUAUUUACAUACAGUACAAUCAAAAUGUUACCAGAUUAUAUUAUUACUGACUAUAAUUAUUACUAUUCUGUAAAACUUUCUUUAUUAAUAAUAUUACUAUGUGUAAAAGCAUGACUUGCCAAAAGAAGAAAACAAAAAGAAAAAAAAAGAAAAAUCAAUGACAAUGCUGUAUAUUUUAAGAUAUUUUAAUGAUAAACCAAAGUGUAUUUUUGUAAUCAAGCCAAUGUUUCAAAUGUUUGAUUGUUCUUUGUGUACAAAGUGUGUGAAGAAUAACGUUAGAGACCAUCGAUCUUCCUUACUUUUCCUAUGGGUCCUACCAGGCUGAUGGAUCUGCCAUAAAAACAAGAUAAACUAUUUCUAACAGUGUACGUUUUUGCUGUGACGGUAAGGAUUUGAAUUUGUUUGUGGGGCUUUACGUCAGUCCCUAGGCUUUUUAUAGGAUAAAGCACCAAACCAAUGCCAAACACGAUCAAUCUCUUGGGAAUUUAACUUCUACAUUAUGGUGUGCACAUUAUUAUUUUAGACAACUGGGUUAUGGAAUUGUGCGACCUAUACCUAGAUCAAUUGGACGUCAGACAAGAACGCAAGUGCUUAGCCAAUCAGUAUCUUAUGACAUCUGCGAUGCUUGGAUGCCAGUUGGCAGUCUAGAAUACCUGUGUAAUAUUUUCAAAUCAGCACUAUGUAAAAUCAUCCGUUUUUCUUACUAAUUCUGAAAGCUCCUAAAAGAAAAAUCUGACACCAAUUUGUGAGGGGAAAAAACUGAUUUGGGCUGCCUGUUUAAACGCAGCAUAUGGGUGGUUUCCCUUGUCCUGAUUCAUUCUACUCCUGGACUAAGAAAGCACUUCUACUGGGACUUCGGAUUGAAAAUAGUUUUUAGUCCCCGGGUUUAAUGUUGCGUGGGAAAUCAGCCCUACACUUUAAUGUAAACCAGAAGAACAGUGCAGCACACAAAACAACACGGGCCAAACUGGUGCUUUCGUAUGCGUAAAGGUUUGGCUCGUGGAAUUAUUCCAUGCCAACACCUGUGUCAAAUCCUCUGAUAUAGUCUGAAGUUGUGCUGUUAUUUCCUGCCUUCGCCUGCUUGCCAGAGCGUCCUAAGAUCCCGAAAGAAGUAGCUUUCAAGUGUUUUCUGUGUAAUCUACUGCUUGAAAAGACUGGUUCAGCAACAUUGUGUUAAUGUUUUUAGAGUUUGUUAAUGUUUUUACUAGAGGUAAUCAGUUGACUUAAGUUAACUGUUUGUAAUUUUACUGUCCAUGAUUAAUCGCAUUGUCUGAAAGCAUCAAAAAGAAACUGAAAACAUUGGUGAGACAUCAUCUCUACAGGUCGCCUAUACAGGUAAAACCUACAUAUCCAUGUUAGAGCAUUAAAAUACGAGUGUAAUGUGUUUUGUAUGAAAAGUCUUUAAACGACUGGUUGCUCUUAACCAGCAAAUCCUGCGAGUUGACUCUUCGACGGCCCACAUUUUUACCAAAGUGGGUAACAGAAAUCAAGAGUAAUCUUUCUGGUUGUAAUGUGGCUUACCGAGUUUGCUGUUUUAAGAUUUCAGUUCGGUUUGCUGCCGGUUGUCUUGUACUAUAAACACACGCACACAGGUACUGAGUCUCGUGUUUCCAUGUUACGUUCAACCGAUGAGUUGUUGAUAACACGUGGAACAUGGGACGGAACUAAAAACAUUUUGACGUUGCUCUGGAGAAUGUGUAAGACACCCACACAUAAAGGGCCUGCUGUACAUAAGCAUUGUAAAUGCAUUCAUCUAGGUAUAUUCCUUUUAAAUGCCGAUGCAAUUAACCUUCCAGAUCAAAAGUGUCACUGUGAGUUCACAAACUUGGGUCGUUCAUAACCCAGAAUGUGUGAUCGUUUGAAACCUUUUUUUGUCAUGUUAAAAAUAAGAUUUCUUUUUGUGUUUUUCCAUUUCCAGUAGAAAUCUCAAAACUAGUGCAUAAGUACCCCAAAAUUCACAAUACUCCACCGCUCUCAUCACUUUAGCAAUUUUAUCCCCUUUAAAUUGUACUUAUCUCACUAUGUAGUGGUUACUCUUCCUAUACCCAGACAUGUUGGCCAAAACUAAAUCCCGUUAUUGUGAUGUACAUUUAUGGUGAUGUCAUAGACUGAUGAAAGGGAGGUUGUUGUUUUUUACUGUUUUGAUAGCAACCCCCCCCCCCAAAAAAAUAAAAAAUAAAUAAAUAAUGUGUUUUAAAUGUAAUGUUAACUUGUUAUUUUACCUGACAGCAAAAUCAAUGUGACGUGAUGAUGACAUCAUUAAGAAUUACAUGUCUUUAUCUGAUUGUAACCUGGGUAUGUGACUACAAAGAGGAAAACUGGUCAGAACCAGAAUAUGUUUAUGAAUAGAUCCAUGCCACAUUACUCUCACUGAGAUGUCAUUUGUCAAGUAGAGUUAAACAUAUGGAAGGACAUUUUGUUUCCCAACAUAACCUUUAAAGACAAAAAGUAAUAUUCAUUUGUUGGAUGGAAAAAUGUAUGUGUUGUUCUAAAUCUACUGUAUGAUUGAAUGUAUGUGCUAUGUGCAUGUUCAUAGCAUGUAUAUAUUGUUUUCUUUUUCAAUGCAUACUGUUGAAAUUCAUGUUUUGCUACUGUGACGAGAAUCCAUACUUCAGUGAAUUUCAGGGGCUCUUUGAGAUCUUUUGUUAAAACCAAAAAUAGAUGAGAAAAGGCUUUUAUGAUCAUGUAAAUGAAGACAGGGCAUAAGCCAUUAAAGAUUGAUGUUGCCAUUC
Molecule: RNA transcript, 4062 nt
Organism: Esox lucius (northern pike)
Lineage: Eukaryota; Metazoa; Chordata; Actinopteri; Esociformes; Esocidae
Gene name: RNA-binding protein with multiple splicing
Exons: 8
Source: RefSeq, a predicted model, not a curated record